GUGGGUACAUUAGCAGCCAUUGGCUGUUUUUUUAAGUUCUCUCUAGGUCUUGCUCUCUCUUGUGGAAUUUGAGUUGUCUUGCAUUACACUCCACUCCCAAUGCUGCUGCCCAGUGAAGCAACAAAUGAUGACCCUAUCGUGAUCAUCUUGGAAGGAACACAAGAUAGACCUUCUAUGCCCCAAGAAGAUGGGGAACAUGACAAAAGAGUAAAAUCACUCCCAGAAGAGGGGAGCCUGAUGAAAUGAGGCAAUUUACAGGCCAACAAAAAUGGGCAUGGGUUGGUAAGUUUAAAUACCGCAAGGAUGCCGUAAGACUCCCAUGAGAGGAUA
Molecule: long non-coding RNA, 330 nt
Organism: Talpa occidentalis (Iberian mole)
Lineage: Eukaryota; Metazoa; Chordata; Mammalia; Eulipotyphla; Talpidae
Exons: 3
Source: RefSeq, a predicted model, not a curated record